UUCAUCCAAAGUUCCUCACUUCCUCUUCACCCAGCAACACCACCCGCUACCAAGUCAAUAAUAGUCGCCGGAACCCUUUAAAACCCCAUGAAUAUGCAUUCCUGGCCCAUUAUCACACUCAAGAUCUGCAAACGUGGUGGAUCCAUUAUCAUUUUUCAACCUAAUUCCACAUUUCACCCCCAAUGUUAACAAAUCAGGAUAAAUAUAUCAACUUAUCAAGUGCAACAACCGUUUGUUCAUGCUUGUAGCGUGCGAAUUUUACACUUUCAUGGCGGAAAAACCCUCAAUUUUGCCUGCUAACUUGAAUUCCGAUUCAUCUCCCAUAUAGUGAUUCAGUUUCAAACAGUUGGUUAAUGCCAGAAUCCAUCACAAGUGAUUCAGUUUCAAACAAUAGUGUUGUUUAGGGCUAUCAGUUGCACGUAAAUCGGUCUAUGAAACAUGGAUUUUACAGUUGUUGGUGAUCUUUGAAGGUUUUAAAGAUUCCUUCUUUGAAUGUGAAAUGGCAUUUGUCAUUGCAACUUGAAGGACCCUGGCAGGUGAUGCUUAAACAAACGGAUAAUUCAUAUGCUUGUGUUGCUGAAAGUGAAACCCGCUUCACCCUUAAUGAAACGAAAGAAGAACUGCUAAGGGUUCUUGGACUGAAGGAGGAACAAGGAAGCCAACUUGAGUUCCUUCGCAGGGGCUAUAAGGUAAAUUUCCCAUUCUAUUCGUUCCUCCAAAAAUUCACCCUCCACCCGUAGGAUGUAUUUUUUUUUAGAAAGUUCCAGGCUAAAU
This is a long non-coding RNA of Helianthus annuus (common sunflower), 774 nucleotides long. RefSeq lists it as uncharacterized. Lineage: Eukaryota; Viridiplantae; Streptophyta; Magnoliopsida; Asterales; Asteraceae. The record is from RefSeq and is a predicted model, not a curated record. The transcript is spliced from 4 exons.